This 254-nucleotide ribosomal RNA is filed under the name uncultured prokaryote. RNAcentral describes it as "partial 16S ribosomal RNA". It matches the Rfam family "Bacterial small subunit ribosomal RNA", at positions 524 to 777 of the family's 1533-position model. The record is from RNAcentral.
UACAGAGGGUGCGAGCGUUAAUCGGAAUUACUGGGCGUAAAGCGCGCGUAGGCGGCUUUGCAAGUCGGGUGUGAAAUCCCCAGGCUUAACCUGGGAACUGCAUUCGAGACCGCAUUGCUAGAGUAUGGGAGAGGGAAGUGGAAUUUCCGGUGUAGCGGUGAAAUGCGUAGAUAUCGGAAGGAACAUCAGUGGCGAAAGCGACUUCCUGGACCAAUACUGACGCUCAUGUGCGAAAGCGUGGGGAGCAAACAGGA